CUUCAGCGAACCGAGCCACAACGGCCGUUCCGCCGGGCGGCCCUGUCCGUACGUCGCCAGGAGCGCCCGCGCCUC
RNAcentral lists this antisense RNA (75 nucleotides) under Streptomyces varsoviensis. RNAcentral describes it as "ASpks sRNA". It matches the Rfam family "ASpks TB sRNA". Lineage: Bacteria; Bacillati; Actinomycetota; Actinomycetes; Kitasatosporales; Streptomycetaceae. The record is from RNAcentral.